UUCUGCAGACCCAUUUCCUACUUCUUCUUCUAUAUAUAUUAUGUCUUCUUCUCCUUUCUUUUCAUUUUUCUUUCUUUUGUGCAGCAAACACCACCACCAACAUAUAUCAAUUUUAUCUCCAUUCACCUCACAAAAUAUGUAUCCUCACGCUGCUCUCUGUUUCUCCCACUCACGAUUUCUUCUCCCAUCAUCACCAAUAUUUUCUUCUUCUUUUCUCCUCCUCCUUAUUUCUCCCAAGUUGCAGCACCAACACCAACACCAUGUUCUCCUUCCUCUCACCAUGGACGAACCACCAUGGCAGCACCUCAACCAUCAUCUUCUUCUCCAUUCACUUGCAGCAGCUACACAACUCCAUCCCCAUCACCAUGCUUCUUAUCUUCCACCAUGAAACAACCAUGGAAGCCAACCACCUCCAUGGCCACUCCUCUUUUCUCAUGGCCGAGUGCCACAACCACCACGCAUACAAGCUCCAGCAAAGGUCACUUCUCCAACCACCAUGGACGGCCACACCUACAACACGCACAACCAUGCCUCCUGCCUUCAUGAGCAAGCCGCCAACACUCCUUCCUCUCACGUGAAGGCCACCAACGUUAGCCAUCACCACCGCUGGUCACAACAACCACCACCUUCCAGCCGAGAACACCAUGGCGAAGCUCCAUGAACAAAAACAGAGGAAGCAAGACGAAGAACAGAGGAGAACGACAUCGCCGACGCCGCCGACAUCGUCAACUUCGGCCGUCGAUUCCGGUGUACUCGGACCUCCGCUCACACCGAGGUUAGUACCGUUGGAACCCUUGCGGCGUCCACAACAAAACCCAUAUUCCGGAUCGUCGUUCCGCCGCCGUCGACCGCCGCUGCUGCCGCCUUCGGGAGCUCUUUCCGGUCAACUCCGGCGACCGAUGGAAAAACGGAGGAUACUGCUACGAUUCUUGCCGUGAGGAGAGCAAACCACUAUUUUCAAUUUCAUAUUUGGGUUAUUUUAUUCGACGACCCCGACGACCACCGUCGACCUUCGGCUGAACUUUCUGGGCAAACCGUCGACUCUUUGGGGAAAUGGACAGCGCUGUUGAGUUCCUGGCCGCGAAAGGGUGAAGGAACAACCUUCCUUUGUGUCUUCGGCGACAAUCCCUCCGUCAACCCCGUGAGCCGCAACUUUCUCUAACGACCCUUCGCCGACAAGUUUCCGAAACUUUAUUUUCGGUACGAAUGACGGGAGCGCUUGGCGACGAAGCCAAAUAAUAAAAGGAAGCAAGACGACGCGGGAAAACAAAGAUGUGAUCGAAAUGAAGUCACCGUUUAGGAAGAAAAUUGGCUAAGGCGAUGGAGAGCCUUCCGCUGAAGCUUAGCCGAUCGAGUUGGAGACUGUGACCGUGGGCGGUCGUGUAAAGGUGGAUGAAGCAGUUGCUUCUUCCUUUUGGUGGACUAUGUCUGAGUUUCCUUCCCCAUCUGAAAACUCUGUUGUUUAAACUUUAUCUCUGCCACUGUUCCAGUGAGCGUACUUAUUUUGGAAACCUGCUUACGAUAUUGUAUGACACUAUUAUUAUAUGUCGGGAACGGGUUGUUGAAUAAAGUCUGUGUUAUGUAUUCAAUUAAGUUCA
Long non-coding RNA from Lotus japonicus, 1598 nucleotides. RefSeq lists it as uncharacterized. The record is from RefSeq and is a predicted model, not a curated record. The transcript is spliced from 3 exons. Lineage: Eukaryota; Viridiplantae; Streptophyta; Magnoliopsida; Fabales; Fabaceae.